GUCUACAGCCAUGCCACCCUAAACAAGCCUGAUGUCUGAUCUUGGAAGCUAAGCUGGGUUGGGCCUGGUUAGUACUUGGAUGCGAGACCACCUAGGAAUUCCAGGUAUGCUGUAGAUG
This 118-nucleotide ribosomal RNA is filed under the name Pteropus alecto (black flying fox). Lineage: Eukaryota; Metazoa; Chordata; Mammalia; Chiroptera; Pteropodidae. The record is from RNAcentral.